UAACCGACCUACCACUGUGGGUGAAAACAUUUAAUGUGCUUCUGCUAUACAGAGCAGCAUGGGGUCCAGACCCAUCAGUUAAGAAUCCAUACUGUGAAAGAUUCUAUAACUACGUUCAUGGCACUACAAAAGAACUUCUGGCUUCAGAUUGUCUUUUGCACGGAGAUCCAAACUACAUGCAGGGAUCAAGUACAGAAAUAUACUGUCAGUUUAACCUUUAAAAUAUAAGUUUCCAUAACAUGACUUCACUGAGGCAUUCCAGAACAUCAGCACACAUAAAAAAGUGUCAUCUGUCAAGCCUGGCUUGUCCUUGGCCAAUUUCCUAGAUCCAGCUUAGGCCUGACUGUGAAUAAUAUGGAGUGGUGCAGCUGUACACUAUUAUAUCCUGGAUAUGAGCCAUAUACCAGCUAACUGGCCACAAAUAACCCCUAUGAAAUGCCACGCAGAUGCUGACAUUGGUUUUAAGGAUGCUCAGAUGACUUCUAUUCUAAAAGCCCUUUCUUUCUGUAUUCCGGGAUAAUGUUAUUUUGGGACAGGCUAAUGGGCCUUCUAAAUUGUACAUUUAUUUAACUGCAUGCAAUUUUGUCAUUCCCUUCUAAAAAGAAAGUUGCACAUUAAUUACAGACCAUUUUUUCCUUUGUUUUGAUCAAUUCUGCUAAUAAAAAUCUGCUUGUUAUUUGCAA
Molecule: long non-coding RNA, 683 nt
Organism: Xenopus tropicalis (tropical clawed frog)
Lineage: Eukaryota; Metazoa; Chordata; Amphibia; Anura; Pipidae
Exons: 2
Source: RefSeq, a predicted model, not a curated record